RNAcentral lists this long non-coding RNA (1016 nucleotides) under Olea europaea subsp. europaea. Lineage: Eukaryota; Viridiplantae; Streptophyta; Magnoliopsida; Lamiales; Oleaceae. The record is from RNAcentral.
GCACAUUUCGUUUCCUAACGAAUAUAAAAGAGGACAAGGUAUGUCUACUGUCUACUCAUCACGUUCUCUCUUUUCUUCACGUUUAGAAUACACAACUCAAGUAAACGUCCUCAAUUUCCAAUUUCAAUCUCUGUUCUUCAAUCAAAAUAAAUCAUUCUUCUCCAAUAUCCAAUCUUUGUUCUCUAUUCUUCAAUCGUGUGUGGAAGUUUCAGUUUUAAUUUAAUGUUUAAUUUUUGGUUUUAUAUUUGAUUUUCUCUACUUUUACUUCUCUAUGUUAUUAUUCAUGAUAGGUCUGAGAGUUUAAUCUUGCAAUUUAUUUUGUUGGAAUGUUUCAAAUUAUAGAUUUUAAUGUUUACGUUUGAUUUCCUUUCCUUUUUUCCUUUAAAUUUUUUCACCCAAUCUAUGCUCCAACUGAGAAUCUGACAUAGAUGCUUCGAUUACCAGAAUGUUGACUGUAGUUUCAACAAUAAUAUUGCAUAUAUGAAGUUUCUUGUUUAAGAAAAGGCAACAUAAUCAAUUAUAAGCAAUGUUUGGAAAAUCAGAACGGAUCGAGAGGUUCGAACCAAAAAACGUGGACCAGCAGUUAGACCGGUUCGGUUGUGGUCGAGUACUUGUUAAUACGGAAAUCGGUAAAAAUUAGGUAAAAUGAUAGGUUCAACCAAUUGAACCGGAUGCGGUUUCUCGAGUUUCUUUGACUACCUUGAAAAAGAAAAAGGAAGAAGAAUAAAGAAGCAUGUAGAUCUGCAAAUGAAGCUUCCUUGACUUGCCCAAACUAUUUGAAAGACCAUCCAUCAGUUUACAUGCAAUAUACGUUGGAAAAAUGAGAAAGAGAAGCCAUGGGGAAAUCAGAAAAAGAAGCCGGCGGCAAUGAAAAUGAAAAAAGGAGUAGUCGGUCGUGUGUCAAAUCUUACUAUGGACUUACUUAGAGAGAGAGGCCCCUGGUACAGGCCCUGUACUUGUAGCAGGGCUCUUAGAUGGCUACUAGGUUAAAAAUAUUUAUUAGGCCUUUAUUCCUA